Molecule: long non-coding RNA, 1860 nt
Organism: Chloebia gouldiae (Gouldian finch)
Lineage: Eukaryota; Metazoa; Chordata; Aves; Passeriformes; Passeridae
Source: Ensembl
GGGGUCAUUUGUCCCUGCGAGGUUCGAGCAAUACAACUUUCUUCAGACUGCAUACAAGUGUGCUCUCUUGGUCUCUUUAUCUCGGGUCCUCAUAGCGUUCUCAGAGCAGCACUGCCCGUGUCACAGCGAACUAACUGCUACCUGGCAAUCUCAGGGGCAACAGUGUGCGUUGCUCACCACCAGCCACCUAUGGGCGACUACUGGUCGGCGCCUGGGGGCCCAGGGGCUGCGUGGAAAACAAGCGCAAGUGGCGCCCAGCUCGUGGGGCUGAUAUGGGUAGUCGCUUUAAGUGUGCUACAGUCAGCAUGCCGAUUUGGGGCUUUUCCGAACAAUUUUUCCACCUUUGUCACCGCGGAAGAUGCAGACGCCGGCAGCGCCGCCUCCCAGAAGCUGCUGGCGCAGGGCAUCAGUCCAGUGGGCAAAAACCCUCUGACCAUAAUGUUCCUGGGGGCUGGAGCCCACCCUGGUUCAGUUCAGCUGCAUUAUCACUGCUGAGAAACUGUGCCGAUUUUUGUCCAGCACUGCUCUCAGCGGAUGAAGACACAACUUUCCACACACCCUGGAAAAUGGCUUCGGACACGGGAACCACUGCUGCAGUUUCUUUUCUAAAAGUUUGCGAUUUGGACUGGCAUUUUAUCAUAGCAACAGCAGAGCUGCUGCCCCGCAUUUGGGACUGCAAAACUCGCAGACGCAGAAGCCACACCUGUGAAUGCCAAGUGAACUGACAUUUAUCGAGGGAAGAGCUGAGAUUCUUAUCAAUGCAGGUACAAGAAGCUGACAGGAACCUAAAGUCCAGUUCUGGUUGAACACUGGUAACAACAAUAGAGCUUUAAUCAAGAAGGAUCCAUAGAACAUCCCAUCUUCAUAUCCUCACAUAAUGCAGCUACAGAAUGCUUAAAUCAAGCAGAAAGAAAGAAUAGCAACCCUUGAAAUGUGCCAGAGGAAUAGAACACGGAAGGUCAGAUUUCAAUGGAAAAGCAAGGAAAUUGGAGACUGGAUACCAAAUGUGGUCAAUACUGGGAUCAUAAGCCUGAUCUAUCAAGUAAGUCUCUGCAAAUAUACCAUUUAAAAUCUUUUCUCUAUCUGUGAAUGAUCUCCACAGAAAAGUCUCUUCACACCACCAGAAUUCUCAAAAUGACGCAUUGAAGGGAGAUUGUAAGGAGAAAUCCUUUCUGAAUGAUUCAGGAAACUGAAAAGCACAGGAUUAACAAAGUCCAAAUAUGGAGCAAAUGAGCAGUGAUUCAGUUUUGCCUUGGAUCUUCUGGGCAAUACCAAGAUGAAGAUGAAGAGCAAAUGUCUUUAAAAGGCAAGUCCUAUAUUUGAUACAGAUCUGGCAAAAAGCAAUGGUACAUGAUUCAGAAGAACAUUACUGAAACCAUACUGUUUCUAAAUGUUUUGUUGAAAGUUAAUUAAUUUGUUACAUUUGAAGUGAAGCUUUUGGUGAUGAUGAAAAUGUGUUGCUUCUUGGAAUGUACUCCUGCAUAAAAUGAUUACUUCAGAAUAUUUUUGCCUGUGAAGUCAUCAAAUAAGCCAAUUCUUAUGAGGCUGAGCUAUAUUAGAGAGCCUUUUUGGACGCAAUAUUUGGCACUAUUGAUUAAAAACUAUCAUGGAAGCAUAUUUUAUAUCAGUGUGUGCUUUCCUCCCUUUAUUAGCUUUAUUCUGGUGUCUGCCAUAAUAAUUCUCUGAGGCAAAUCUCACAGGACAUAUAGUGCAAAACAUAGUGCUCAAGAUUUCUUUUCAUCUCUGUAUUCUCUGCACACCUUGUUUAAAAUGAGAUACAUUGAUAAGUCCUGGAAGUAAUGGGAGAAUUACCAUUGCUUUUCCCAAAGGCUGAGAAUAAAAAUGUUCCUUCCAAAGGCA